Molecule: non-coding RNA, 26 nt
Filed under: Homo sapiens (human)
Lineage: Eukaryota; Metazoa; Chordata; Mammalia; Primates; Hominidae
Source: RNAcentral
UGAGGUGAUUAGAUGUUGUGCAGCAG